This 993-nucleotide ribosomal RNA is filed under the name uncultured organism. RNAcentral's name for it is "bacterial SSU rRNA". It matches the Rfam family "Bacterial small subunit ribosomal RNA", at positions 243 to 1266 of the family's 1533-position model. The record is from RNAcentral.
AGCUAGUUGGUAGGGUAACGGCCUACCAAGGCGAAGACGGGUAGGGGGCGUGAGAGCGUGACCCCCCACACUGGCACUGGGACACGGGCCAGACUCCUACGGGAGGCAGCAGUGAGGAAUAUUGCGCAAUGAGCGAAAGCUAGACGCAGCAACGCCGCGUGGGUGAUGAAGGCCUUCGGGUCGUAAAACCCUUUUCUGGGGGAAGAGUAAGGACGGUACCCCAGGAAUAAGCCUCGGCUAAAUAUGUGCCAGCAGCCGCGGUAAUACAUAGGAGGCAAGCGUUAUCCGGAUUUACUGGGCGUAAAGAGCGUUGAGGCGGCUUCGUAAGUUGGACGUGAAAGCUCCCGGCUUAACUGGGAGAGGCCGUUCAAUACUGCGGGGCUUGAGGACAGCAGAGGGGGGUGGAAUUUCCGGUGUAGUGGUGAAAUGCGUAGAUAUCGGAAGGAACACCAGUGGCGAAGGCGGCCCCCUGGGCUGCUCCUGACGCUGAAGGCGAAAGCUAGGGUAGCGAACGGGAUUAGAAACCCCGGUAGUCCUAGCCGUAAACGAUGGAUACUAGGUGUAGGAGGUUAAAACUCCUUCUGUGCCGGAGCUAACGCGUUAAGUAUCCCGCCUGGGGAGUACGGUCGCAAGGCUAAAACUCAAAGGAAUUGACGGGGGCCCGCACAAGCAGCGGAGCGUGUGGUUUAAUUCGAUGCAACGCGAAGAACCUUACCAGGGCUUGACAUGUAGGUAGUAGUGAAGCGAAAGCGGAACGAUCCUUCGGGAAGCCUACACAAGUGCUGCAUGGCUGUCGUCAGCUCGUGCCGUGAGGUGUUAGGUUAAGUCCUGUAACGAGCGCAACCCCUGCCGUUAGUUACGAGUGUCUAACGGGACUGCCCGGCAAAACUGGGCGGAAGGUGGGGAUGACGUCAAGUCAGCAUGGCCUUUAUGUCCUGGGCUACACACACGCUACAAUGGCCGGUACAAUGGGUUGCCAAGCCGCGAGGCGGA